AUGGUGAGUAGUAGCUCUGCCAACCCUGCCAGUAGCAACAACUCAAUGAGCAGCAGGAGCACACUACAGAUGUUGAUCGACAAAACUUGCUGGAAAGACAAGAAUCUGCCAAAGUCAAAGAAAAAUGAUGAAGCGGAGUCUCAUGGGAAGGGGAAGAUUCCUCUGUCAACAGCCCCACCUAAACCAGCUAAGCAUCAAAAAAUUGUCAGGUUUGCCAAGGGCACAAAGGAGGAACAGGGCAGAAAAGGUGUGGGGUUCAGACACAAGACAGAACAACGUGCCACAACCAUUGAUGUGGGACUGCCAAGUUCUGCUAGUUUGGUGCCAACUCAGGUUGCAAAGGUGCCAACUGCAGAUACCAAUGUGCCAACUGAAGUGUCAAUUAGCACGCAGGUCACAGUCAAAACUAGCACAGUUGCUCAGGAAGACUCAACUGCAACCGCAAGCCCCAAGGUGCCAUCUCAUAGAGAUUCUUCAAUGCCAAACAAGAAAGGAGGUUGUCAAUCUGUCAAACUUCCGUCUCCAAGAGCUAUCACAGAGCAUCCAAGCAAGCUUGCAUCACCAAGAGCUGAUUUUCAGAACACAUUAACACAAGAGGAGGUGUUCAACAUUGUAAGCAGGUGCAAGCCUCCCAGGCCGCCAACCACAACAUUCAGAUCAAAUUCUUACAUCUAUCAUGGUGAUGGGUACGGCGAUGCACCACCCUUUGACCUGGGCAUAGAGGAUGAUGUUGGGCCUACUAGAGCACUUGCUCUAGCAACACAAAUAGGGGAAGCCAACAUGGUUGUCAUAGAUGAGGAUGAGUUGGACCCAGCAACAGUGAACGAAGGAUGCAUUGCUGCUGAUGCUGGCAAGGGAUUAGCUCACCAGCCAGAUGUUGGAUCACCAGACAACUGCCACACCCCGAUAUGCGGAGAACCAGCAGUUGGCACGAGCAGUUCUUCAGGACCACCUGUUGCACGAAGAUAG
RNAcentral lists this ribosomal RNA (969 nucleotides) under Triticum aestivum (bread wheat). Its description in RNAcentral is "partial small subunit ribosomal RNA". Lineage: Eukaryota; Viridiplantae; Streptophyta; Magnoliopsida; Poales; Poaceae. The record is from RNAcentral.